CCGUAGGAUUUACGAUAACUAUAGGCAGAUAUCAAGGGCCACGGUGGAAAGGGGCCAUGACCAGGACGCAGUGCAGUGCCGGGUUAAAGUGAAGGAGCUGCGGAAUGCCUACCACAAAGCGCAGGAGGCAAACCGCCGCUCCAGUGCUGCCCCCAUGACCUGCCAUUUCUACAAAGAGCUAGACGUGAUACUUGGGGGCGACCCCACCUCCACUCCGAAGAGCACCAUGGACACUUCAGAGGCCGUAGCAGCGCAGAGUUCAACAAGGCAGGAGGAGGAAAGCAGGAGCGGGUGCCGAGCCAGAGGAUGGCAUCCCUAGAUGCAUGCAGUCAGGAGCUGUUUUCAAGCCAGGAGGAAGGUAGCCAGUCGCAGCGGACGGUGCUUGGGGAAGAACAAACAGCAGAGAAGGUGUCCGGUAAGUGGCUUUUAUUUUGGGAAGGUAGUUGUUCGGUGCGGGCUCUUGGGGCGAGGAGGGUUGCAGAAAGAAGGGUUAGGGCUGCGUGCAUGCCUAGAUGCGGAAUAGGGCAUUAUGUGCUCUCUCAUAUCGCAGUAAUUGGCCUCAGUGAUCUCUUCAAAGAUCUCAUGCAGCAGCUGGGCAAUCCACUUGUGCAGGUUCCUUGGCAGAGCUACUGUGCUUCUUGUCCCAGUAAGGCUAACAUGUCCAUGCCACUGUGCCGAGGGGGGACGGAGGGGGAACCAUUGCUGCACACAGGCAAGUGGCAUAAGGGCCAGGGCCAGCCGCAUUGUAGUAGAAGACCCUCCCUUGCUUCCCAGGUCACUCUCAGCAGCGAGAUAUCUUCCAGGACAAACUCAUCCUGUGGAAAAUUUGGGGACAGUGUUCAGUAUAGGGUCCCCCUACAGCUGUUGGCUCUCCCCAAGGCACAGAUCCCCAGAGGACAGUACAGCCGUGAAACAAUUAGUCCCCCUUGCCCUUGUGCUUACUCACCAUUCUGGGGCUCCUGUGUGUUAUGUGCACUCGCUUUGGGAUGGGCAAUUUCUGCUAUUGU
Molecule: long non-coding RNA, 1007 nt
Filed under: Chrysemys picta bellii (western painted turtle)
Lineage: Eukaryota; Metazoa; Chordata; Testudines; Emydidae
Description: lncRNA (ENSCPBG00000026364.1)
Source: RNAcentral